AUUUUGAUGCCGUAUUUUGUUAUUAGAAAUCGUAGGGUAACAAAAAACGUUUCCGGACCAUUUUUGUGCACAAAAAUAAAUAUGAAUAAAAUGGCUGACCUGUAUAGAUCUAUUGUACAGUCAUUACACAUUUUGCACAUUUAAAUAAAAGGUAUUUUCCUUUUCACUCUAAGUGCAAAUGAAUAUUCACCACUCAUUUGCAGGCGAAAAUGUCACUCACACUUCACUCGUAUCCAAACCUCCAGAGGGUUUCAUGUGGGGAAGAAGAAGAAGAAAUUAAUAAUGGAUUCGUCAUGUUGAAAAUAUAAAUUUAAAGUUGUAGAUUCCAAACCAAAGGACGUAUAUGGUGACCCCCCCCCCCCCCCCCAUUCUCUCCGUCUGAGAGCAUAAACAAGCCCACUAUUCAUUUGUGAACGUAUCUGCCCCCAACCAUCUCUCCACGCUCUGAAAUGUACUCAUACGUCCCGUCCCGAUCACCCCCGCUGUGUUGAAACAACUCAUUUAAUAGAAGAGAGAAAUCGAUGCGCUCCUUGGAAAGAGCGAAGCAGCAGACAGCGGCAUGUCGGUGGAAACGUGUUGGAACGAGGUGCAGGAUAUUCUCUGCAGGAAGGAAUGACACUUGCACUUUAGUGGGAAGACGGGCGAUGGGGAGGCCACUUCUGGUAGAGGAAGGAAGAACCUCAGGAGCCGAUUAAUGAACGAAUCAAAAGCUCAGAUUUUGGGCAGACGGGUGGGAUUCCGUACGUCUACGGAACACAUCGUGGAGACGUAUGGAUUCGUACGGUGGCCUGAGAAAGACAGACACACUCGCUCCUCCUCUUUGUUCCAUUAAUCUGUGGGAGCAGGGAAACGAUACUGGAGCAUCUAUAGGUGGCUCCUCUCUCUGCAAUGUGUGUGUUUGUGUGCGUGCAGCUUUUUCAAAAAGCAGCUCUGUGAUGCUUUAUUUAAUUGGUCGUGGACCACCUGGAGUUCCAACAUUCCCCCCGGCUGACUUCCCUCCCCCGGGUCACCUGUGCACGUGACGUCGAUAGAAGAGACGGAUGAAAUACGGCAUUUGCAUUGAAGCUGGAAUAACGUUUUAUUUGUGUGCAUCAAAAUUGAUGCGUUAACUUUUUUAAAUACAAAAAACUGA
This is a long non-coding RNA of Gasterosteus aculeatus aculeatus (three-spined stickleback), 1132 nucleotides long. NCBI's taxonomy places the organism in Eukaryota, Metazoa, Chordata, Actinopteri, Perciformes, Gasterosteidae. The record is from Ensembl.